UUUUGGACAAUGGGCGAAAGCCUGAUCCAGCAAUGCCGCGUGUGGGAAGAAGGCCUUCGGGUUGUAAACCACUUUUGUACGGAACGAAAAGGUCUGCCCUAAUACGGUGGGCCCAUGACGGUACCGUAAGAAUAUGCACCGGCUAACUACGUGCCAGCAGCCGCGGUAAUACGUAGGGUGCGAGCGUUAAUCGGAAUUACUGGGCGUAAAGCGUGCGCAGGCGGUUUCGUAAGCUGGAGGUGAAAUCCCCGGGCUUAACCUGGGAAUGGCCUUCAGGACUGCGAGGCUAGAGUGCGGCAGAGGGAGGUGGAAUUCCACGUGUAGCAGUGAAAUGCGUAGAGAUGUGGAGGAACACCGAUGGCGAAGGCAGCCUCCUGGGCCAGCACUGACGCUCAUGCACGAAG
Molecule: ribosomal RNA, 404 nt
Filed under: uncultured bacterium
Lineage: Bacteria
Description: bacterial SSU rRNA
Rfam family: Bacterial small subunit ribosomal RNA
Source: RNAcentral